ACUCAAGGAAGAAACUGUAGUCUCACCGUCAACUCCCAAAGCUGAAGUUCUACUUAAACUACUCCC
Molecule: transfer RNA, 66 nt
Filed under: Bos gaurus (gaur)
Lineage: Eukaryota; Metazoa; Chordata; Mammalia; Artiodactyla; Bovidae
Description: tRNA-Pro
Source: RNAcentral